UACGAAGGUCCCAAGCGUUGUUCGGAAUCACUGGGCGUAAAGGGAGCGUAGGCGGCGUGGUAAGUCAGAUGUGAAAUCCCGGGGCUCAACCCCGGAACUGCAUCCGAUACUGCCAUGCUAGAGGAUUGGAGAGGUAGCUGGAAUUCUUGGUGUAGCAGUGAAAUGCGUAGAGAUCAAGAGGAACACUCGUGGCGAAAGCGAGCUACUGGACAAUUCCUGACGCUGAGGCUCGAAGGCUAGGGGAGCGAAAGGG
This 253-nucleotide ribosomal RNA is filed under the name uncultured bacterium. RNAcentral's name for it is "partial 16S ribosomal RNA". It matches the Rfam family "Bacterial small subunit ribosomal RNA", at positions 524 to 776 of the family's 1533-position model. The record is from RNAcentral.